GUAGGUGGCAAGCGUUGUCCGGAUUUACUGGGUAUAAAGGGCGUGUAGCCGGGCCGGCAAGUCAGAUGUGAAAUCCCAAGGCUCAACCUUGGAACUGCAUUUGAAACUGUUGGUCUUGAGUAUCGGAGAGGCAGGCGGAAUUCCUAGUGUAGCGGUGAAAUGCGUAGAUAUUAGGAGGAACACCAGUGGCGAAGGCGGCCUGCUGGACGACAACUGACGGUGAGGCGCGAAAGCGUGGGGAGCAAA
Molecule: ribosomal RNA, 246 nt
Filed under: uncultured bacterium
Lineage: Bacteria
Description: partial 16S ribosomal RNA
Rfam family: Bacterial small subunit ribosomal RNA
Source: RNAcentral